UUUAAUGAGAGUUUGAUCCUGGCUCAGGACGAACGCUGGCGGCGUGCCUAAUACAUGCAAGUAGAACGCUGAAGAGAGGAGCUUGCUCUUCUUGGAAGAGUUGCGAACGGGUGAGUAACGCGUAGGUAACCUGCCUUGUAGCGGGGGAUAACUAUUGGAAACGAUAGCUAAUACCGCAUAACAAUGGGUGACCCAUGUCAUUCAUUUGAAAGGGGCAACUGCUCCACUACAAGAUGGACCUGCGUUGUAUUAGCUAGUAGGUGAGGUAACGGCUCACCUAGGCGACGAUACAUAGCCGACCUGAGAGGGUGAUCGGCC
RNAcentral lists this ribosomal RNA (318 nucleotides) under Streptococcus vestibularis. Its description in RNAcentral is "bacterial SSU rRNA". It matches the Rfam family "Bacterial small subunit ribosomal RNA", at positions 1 to 309 of the family's 1533-position model. Lineage: Bacteria; Bacillati; Bacillota; Bacilli; Lactobacillales; Streptococcaceae. The record is from RNAcentral.